Molecule: ribosomal RNA, 253 nt
Filed under: uncultured bacterium
Lineage: Bacteria
Description: partial 16S ribosomal RNA
Rfam family: Bacterial small subunit ribosomal RNA
Source: RNAcentral
UACGGAGGGGGCGAGCGUUAUUCGGAAUUAUUGGGCGUAAAGGGCGCGUAGGCGGCCUUGUAAGUCAAAGGUGAAAUCCCUCGGCUCAACUGAGGAACUGCCUUUGAAACUGCAAGGCUUGGGGCCGGGAGGGGGUAGCGGAAUUCCCAAUGUAGCGGUGAAAUGCGUAGAUAUUGGGAGGAACACCAGUGGCGAAGGCGGCUACCUGGACCGGUUCUGACGCUGAGGCGCGAAAGCGUGGGUAGCAAACAGG